Molecule: ribosomal RNA, 826 nt
Filed under: uncultured archaeon
Lineage: Archaea
Description: bacterial SSU rRNA
Rfam family: Archaeal small subunit ribosomal RNA
Source: RNAcentral
UAGUUGAGCGCACAGAACUAUGUCUGUGGGCGGCACACUGCUCAGUAACACGUAGCUAACCUACCCUUAGGACGUGGACAACCCCGAGAAAUUGGGGCUAAUCCGCGAUAGAUGUAAUGUCCUGGAAUGGUAUUACGUCCAAAGGUAUCCCAUACAUGUUUGGUAUACGCCUAAGGAUGGGGCUGCGGCCGAUCAGGCUGUUGGUGAGGUAAUGGCUCACCAAACCUUUGACCGGUACGGGCCAUGAGAGUGGUAGCCCGGAGAUGGACACUGAGACAAGGGUCCAGGCCCUACGGGGCGUAGCAGGCGCGAAACCUCCUCAAUGCACUUACGUGCGAAGGGGCUACCUCGAGUGCCACCUGAUGAAGGUGGCUUUUCCUAGGUCUAAAAAGCCUUGGGAAUAAGAGGGGGGCGAGACUGGUGUCAGCCGCCGCGGUAACACCAGCCCCUCGAGUGGUGGGGAUGAUUAUUGGGCCUAGAGCGUCCGUAGCCUGCCGUAUAAGUUUCCCGUUAAAUCCAGCGUCUCAAGCGUUGGACUGCGGGAAAUACUGUACGGCUAGAGAGUGGGAGAGGUCAGCGGUAUUCUGGGGGUAGGGGCGAAAUCCUUUGAUCCCCGGAGGACCACCAGUGGCGAAGGCUGCUGACUAGAACACGUCUGACGGUCAGGGACGAAAGCUGGGGUAGCGAACCGGAUUAGAUACCCGGGUAGUCCCAGCCGUAAACGAUGCAUGCUAGGUGUUGGGUUGGCCACGAGCCACCCCAGUGCCGCAGGGAAGCCGUUAAGCAUGCCGCCUGGGAAGUACGAUCGCAAGGUGAAACUAAAGGA